GAGUUUGAUCCUGGCUCAGAUUGAACGCUGGCGGCAGGCCUAACACAUGCAAGUCGAGCGGUAGAGAGAAGCUUGCUUCUCUUGAGAGCGGCGGACGGGUGAGUAAUGCCUAGGAAUCUGCCUGGUAGUGGGGGAUAACGCUCGGAAACGGACGCUAAUACCGCAUACGUCCUACGGGAGAAAGCAGGGGACCUUCGGGCCUUGCGCUAUCAGAUGAGCCUAGGUCGGAUUAGCUAGUUGGUGAGGUAAUGGCUCACCAAGGCGACGAUCCGUAACUGGUCUGAGAGGAUGAUCAGUCACACUGGAACUGAGACACGGUCCAGACUCCUACGGGAGGCAGCAGUGGGGAAUAUUGGACAAUGGGCGAAAGCCUGAUCCAGCCAUGCCGCGUGUGUGAAGAAGGUCUUCGGAUUGUAAAGCACUUUAAGUUGGAGGAAGGGCAGUAAAUUAAUACUUUGCUGUUUUGACGUUACCGACAGAAUAAGCACCGGCUAACUCUGUGCCAGCCGCCG
RNAcentral lists this ribosomal RNA (512 nucleotides) under uncultured bacterium. Its description in RNAcentral is "bacterial SSU rRNA". It matches the Rfam family "Bacterial small subunit ribosomal RNA", at positions 9 to 517 of the family's 1533-position model. The record is from RNAcentral.